Molecule: long non-coding RNA, 1170 nt
Organism: Capsicum annuum
Lineage: Eukaryota; Viridiplantae; Streptophyta; Magnoliopsida; Solanales; Solanaceae
Exons: 6
Source: RefSeq, a predicted model, not a curated record
GUGGGGAAACAUCCCAUGGCUGGGUUUUCUCUUUCUUCUUUUAAAUAAAAACCCCAGGUUACUGUGCUUCUUGUUUCGAAUCCUCUUGCUCAAGUUCUCAACUGAUGGUUGAAAAUGUCUACCAUGAAUUUGGACUCGCCCUUCAGCAUAUGGUAACUAAGCAGGAUGAGGUUUUGGUUGCUGGUAUAAGAGGCAUAGAAUGGGAUGCCAUGGAAUUACCAUCACGGUUCAUGCAAAAUAGGUGCUAUCAUAGAGCUUGAGAAACACAUUCCUGAUCUCCACGUGUUGAUUUCGACCCCUUUUCAUCCUGCCUAUGUCACGGCUGAUAGAAUCAACAAGGCAAAAAAUUUACAACUUCUGCCGACUGCUGGAAUUGGAUCAGAUCAUGUUGAUCUGAAAGCUGCUGUUGCUGCUGGAUUGACAGUAGCAGAGGUCACUGGAAGCAAUACUGUCUCAGUUGCGGAAGAUGAACUGAUGCGAAUCUUAAUUCUUGUUCGAAAUUUUCUGCCUUGCAGGACGUAUUGGCAGACUUUUACUCCAACGAUUGAAGUCAUUUUACUGUAAUCUACUUAACCAUGACCGGCUUAAGAUGGAUCUGUAGCUGGAAAGUCAAAGCGGAGCAAAGUUUGAGGAAGAUCUUGAUAAGAUGCUUUCGAAAUGUGACAUAGUGAUCAUCAAUACGCCUCUUAAAUAGAAAACAAAGCAAGAACAAUAUGAGAAAUCUGCUGCAGGAAGAGCAGCUCGUGCACAAAUGACAGCUUCUGCCAAGCAAACAACGAAUCCGAACCAAGGAGAACCCGUUCUUAAGUUGCGGUAUGCAGCUGGAACGAAGGAUAUGCUAGACAGGAGAUGAGGGCACAUAAUGCACAACUUUAUGCUGCAGUGUCGUAGUGGUUAGUUCUGUGGUGAGCGUUCGAUCGGUAGGGAUGUUAUGACAUUAACUGCAGCUGCAGCUACUGCUCUCUGUGAUGCGGUUUACAUUAGAGGCUAGAACAUCAAACGAAGCAUGGAACAUAGCAGCAAUAAUUCCUGUUGAUAAAAUAAUGGGAAGUGGCAAUGGUGGUGGUAGAAAUGGUAGUUCUAGCAGUGAGCUAAUUGCCGAAGAGAAUUUUCUUGAAAUUUGCAGCAGAGAAUAGCUUGCAAGAGGUGGUGAGCUCCUAAAGCGUACUC